This 739-nucleotide long non-coding RNA is filed under the name Equus asinus (donkey). Its description in RNAcentral is "lncRNA (ENSEASG00005029766.1)". Lineage: Eukaryota; Metazoa; Chordata; Mammalia; Perissodactyla; Equidae. The record is from RNAcentral.
UCUUGGGAGAUAUGUGCUGAAAUAUUGGGGUGAAGUGUUAUGAUAUCUGUAAUUUACUUUCAAAUGGUUUAGUAAAAAUGUGAUAUAGGUAUGCAUAUAUGUAGAUGUAUGUAAAUAGAUGGGAGAGAGAGAGAGAGAAAGAAUAGAUAUAGGUAAAAUAAAUUGGCGAGUCUAAGCAAAGGAUAUAUGUGUGUUCAUAGUAUUGUUCUUUCAACUUUUCUGUAGAUUUGAAAAUUUUCCCCAAAAAAGCUGAGAUAAAAUGAGAUAGUGCAAAUAAAGUACUUGGCCAAUGGGGCCAGCCCUGUUGGUAACUCUGGUGCACUCUGCUUCAGCGGCCCGGGUUCGCUGGUUCAGAUCCCAGAUGUGGACCUACACCACUUGUCAAGCCAUGCUGUGGUGGUGAUCCACAUAAAAAAGAGAGGAGGAUUGACACAGAUCUGUAUCUUCCUCAAGCAAAAAAUGAGGAAGAUUGACAACAGAUGUUGGCUCAGAGAGAAUCUUCCUCACCAAAGAAAAAAAAUUGCUUUCCAGAAAGAUAUAUCAAUUUAUAUUUUCACCAUCAGCAUUCUAUUAGUACAACUGAGGAGGGGCAUCUUUUUACACAGUUAACGGCCAUUUAUUUUUCUUCUGUGAAUUGCCUUCUCCUUUCUACCUAUUUUUCUAUUGUGUUAUUUGGUUUUUCCUUGUAUUUUUGUAAGAGUUCAUGCAUCUGUUCAUUAAUUCAUUAAGCCAAUAAAUA